This 345-nucleotide unclassified non-coding RNA is filed under the name soil metagenome. RNAcentral describes it as "partial contains 5.8S ribosomal RNA, internal transcribed spacer 2, and large subunit ribosomal RNA". The stretch from base 1 to 120 matches the Rfam family "5.8S ribosomal RNA", at positions 36 to 154 of the family's 154-position model. The record is from RNAcentral.
AUGAAGAACGUAGCGAAAUGCGAUAAGUAAUGCGAAUUGCAGAAUUUCCGUGAGUCAUCGAAUCUUUGAACGCACAUUGCGCCCACUGGUAUUCCGGUGGGCAUGCCUGUUCGAGCGUCAUUAUCCUCCCUCAAACCCCGGGUUUGGUGUUGGACCGAAGUUGUGUGAACAACUGGUCUAAAAAACAAUGACGGCGUCCGUGGGACCCUCAGUGCAUCGAGCUUUCAUAAGCACGCAUUGAGUUGCAAGGACCUUCCGGGCCGGUCUACUUUUACAUCUUCUGAAAGUUGACCUCGGAUCAGGUAGGAAUACCCGCUGAACUUAAGCAUAUCAAUAAGCGGAGGA